UACGUAGGGGGCAAGCGUUGUCCGGAUUUAUUGGGCGUAAAGCGCGCGUAGGUGGCCCCGUAAGUCCGCUGUGAAAGUCAAAGGCUCAACCUUUGAAAGCCGGUGGAUACUGUGGGACUAGAGUACGGAAGAGGCGAGUGGAAUUCCUGGUGUAGCGGUGGAAUGCGCAGAUAUCAGGAGGAACACCAAUAGCGAAGGCAGCUCGCUGGGACGUUACUGACACUGAGGCGCGAAAGCGUGGGGAGCGAACAGG
This 253-nucleotide ribosomal RNA is filed under the name uncultured bacterium. RNAcentral describes it as "partial 16S ribosomal RNA". It matches the Rfam family "Bacterial small subunit ribosomal RNA", at positions 524 to 776 of the family's 1533-position model. The record is from RNAcentral.